RNAcentral lists this ribosomal RNA (1218 nucleotides) under Triticum aestivum (bread wheat). Its description in RNAcentral is "partial small subunit ribosomal RNA". The record is from RNAcentral. Lineage: Eukaryota; Viridiplantae; Streptophyta; Magnoliopsida; Poales; Poaceae.
AUGGUUGAGGCAGUGGCGGAGGAGGAGCCGGUGGUGCGGGAGUACGACGACGUCCGCGACCGCGCCGGCGUGGAGGAGGUGGAGCGGGAGUGCGAGGUGGGGUCCAGCGGCGGCGGCGGCGAGAUGUGCCUCUUCACGGACCUCCUCGGCGACCCGCUCUGCCGCAUUCGCAACUCGCCGGACUUCCUCAUGCUGGUCGCGGAGACAGCAACCGGCAGCGCCGCCGGCGGCGGCGCGGAGAUAAUCGGCCUCGUCCGCGGCUGCGUGAAGUCCGUCGUCUCCGGCGGCUCCCACGCCAAGGACAAGGACCCCAUCUACACCAAGGUCGCCUACAUCCUCGGCCUCCGCGUCUCACCCAACCAUCGGAGGAAAGGGGUGGGGAGGAAGCUCGUGGAGAGGAUGGAGCAAUGGUUCCGGCAGAAGGGCGCGGAGUACUCGUACAUGGCGACGGAGCAGGACAACGAGGCGUCCGUGCGCCUCUUCACCUCCCGCUGCGGCUACUCCAAGUUCCGCACGCCGUCGUUGCUCGUCCACCCGGUGUUCCGCCACGCCCUCAAGCCCUCGCGCCGCGCCUCCAUCGUGCGCCUCGAGCCCCGCGACGCCGAGCGCCUCUACCGCUGGCACUUUGCCGCCGUCGAGUUCUUCCCCGCCGACAUCGACGCCGUGCUGUCCAACGCCCUGUCGCUCGGCACGUUCCUGGCGCUCCCGGCGGGCACAAGUUGGCACGGGGACGUUGAGGCAUUUCUCGCCGCGCCGCCGGCUUCGUGGGCGGUGCUGAGCGUGUGGAACUGCAUGGACGCCUUCCGUCUCGAGGUGCGCGGCGCACCCCGUCUGAUGCGCGCCGCGGCCGGCGCAACGCGGCUGGUGGACCGAGCGGCGCCGUGGCUCCGGAUACCCUCCAUCCCGAACCUCUUCGCGCCGUUCGGGCUCUACUUCCUCUACGGCCUGGGCGGCGCCGGGCCGGGAGCGCCGCGGCUGGUGCGCGCGCUGUGCCGGCACGCGCACAACAUGGCCCGACGCGGCGGAUGCGGCGUGGUGGCCACCGAGGUCGCCGCCCUCGAGCCCGUGCGCGCCGGGGUGCCGCACUGGGCGCGUCUCGGCGCCGAGGACCUCUGGUGCAUCAAGCGGCUCGCCGACGGCUACAACCACGGGCUGCUCGGCGACUGGACCAAGGCGGCGCCCGGGCGCUCCAUCUUCGUCGACCCCAGAGAGUUUUAG